CCCCCCGUCAGGCUUCAGACACGGCGCCUGAAGCACGUGCAGCGUUGCCUGGGCUCGCCCGUAGGUGCCAACCUGUGUGCUUCCCUGGGGGCGUCUGAGUAUCGCCCUAAACGCCCUGUGAUUUGCUCGCGAACGCUAGGGCACCCUCUGCAGUCUCCUGCUCCUGCCCCCCUGCUCUAGCACCGUUUUAGCCGUUAGGGGAAAGCUGGGUGCUCCUCGCCGUCUGGAGCUGCUUUCCGUGCCCUGCCGCGGCGGUGUCUCGUGCUGCUCAGCCCCAAAGUUCACAGCCUCCCUGUCUGCUGGCAACCCAGAAGGAUGUACGAAGCUGCUGGAAACGAGCAGAGCCAAGAGGAUGAGAAUGGAGUUUCACUUUGGGUCUCACCUGGGAUUGCAUCCUGCAAACAGGAGGUGCUUCUCCUCUGCCUGGAAGAAGAGCGUGAGCAGAGAAGGAUGAGGAAGCGAGUGAGGAUCAGCCCUUCCCGCUGGAGCAGGUCGCGUGCUGCAUCCAUGAGCUGCCUCGCAACCUGCAAGCUGUGGGCGAAGCCGCCGUUAGUGCUCUGA
This 561-nucleotide long non-coding RNA is filed under the name Struthio camelus australis. RNAcentral describes it as "lncRNA (ENSSCUG00000018137.1)". The record is from RNAcentral. Lineage: Eukaryota; Metazoa; Chordata; Aves; Struthioniformes; Struthionidae.